RNAcentral lists this ribosomal RNA (253 nucleotides) under uncultured bacterium. Its description in RNAcentral is "partial 16S ribosomal RNA". It matches the Rfam family "Archaeal small subunit ribosomal RNA", at positions 474 to 727 of the family's 1478-position model. The record is from RNAcentral.
UACCAGCACCCCGAGUGGUCGGGACGUUUAUUGGGCCUAAAGCAUCCGUAGCCGGUUCUAUAAGUCUUCCGUUAAAUCCAACUGCUUAACAGGUGGGCUGCGGAAGAUACUAUAGAGCUAGGAGGCGGGAGAGGCAAGCGGUACUCGAUGGGUAGGGGUAAAAUCCGUUGAUCCAUUGAAGACCACCAGUGGCGAAGGCGGCUUGCCAGAACGCGCUCGACGGUGAGGGAUGAAAGCUGGGGGAGCAAACCGG